AUUGAACGCUGGCGGCAGGCCUAACACAUGCAAGUCGAGCGGAUGAAGGGAGCUUGCUCCUGGAUUCAGCGGCGGACGGGCGAGUAAUGCCUAGGAAUCUGCCUGGUUGUGGGGGAUAACGUCCGGAAACGGGCGCUAAUACCGCAUACGCCCUUAGGGAGUAAGUGGGGGAUCUUCGGACCUCACGCUAUCAGAUGAGCCUAGGUCGGAUUAGCUAGUUGGUGGGGUAAAGGCCUACCAAGGCGACGAUCCGUAACUGGUCUGAGAGGAUGAUCAGUCACACUGGAACUGAGACACGGUCCAGACUCCUACGGGAGGCAGCAGUGGGGAAUAUUGGACAAUGGGCGAAAGCCUGAUCCAGCCAUACCGCGUGGGUGAAGAAGGUCUUCGGAUUGUAAAGCACUUUUGUUGGGAAAGAAGGGCAGUAGGUUAAUACCUUGCUGUUUUGACGUUACCAACAGAAUAAGCACCGGCUAACUUCGUG
RNAcentral lists this ribosomal RNA (484 nucleotides) under uncultured bacterium. Its description in RNAcentral is "partial 16S ribosomal RNA". It matches the Rfam family "Bacterial small subunit ribosomal RNA", at positions 30 to 507 of the family's 1533-position model. The record is from RNAcentral.